RNAcentral lists this long non-coding RNA (1937 nucleotides) under Theobroma cacao (cacao). Its description in RNAcentral is "long non-coding RNA (TCAC_LNC002026)". The record is from RNAcentral. Lineage: Eukaryota; Viridiplantae; Streptophyta; Magnoliopsida; Malvales; Malvaceae.
CAACUAGUACUAUUCAAAAAUAAUCAAUAAAAUAUUUUAUUUUCUCAUAAAAUAAAUUUUUAUAGAAAUAUUCGUAAAUAGUUUUUCGCACAUGAAAGUAAAGUAAAUAUUGUAUGAAUAGAAAUACAGAUAACCAAAAUAUAAGUUUUGAUCUGCAAUGACACGUGGGCCCUAAUUGACCAAGAGGAUGUAAGACUGUGAACUCUUACUUUCUAUAAUGCAGUUCCGAGCUUAGUUCUCGUCCUACUCGAUUAUCUACAAACUAUCUUGAGCCUGAAAAAUGUAUAGGAAGAAGGGGUGAGAUUUUAUAAUCCCAGUGAGUAAACAGAUACCAUCUAAAGUAUCUAAAGCCGAGUAAAUGGAGACAAUUAAAAUAAGUCAUCAUACUGUAAUUUCAUUACCUUUCAGUUCAUUUCAACCAAAUAAAAUCAAUCCAUAUAAAUCGAGUAAUCAACUUGGCUUAUGAAUUUCUUAAAACUUUGGCUCGUGCCAAAACUCAUACUCGGUGAUACCUUGCGCAGGGCAUCUAACCGAGUCCGCCAAGGCUGUUAAAAUUUUGUAUACACUUAAAAUAUAUUUUUAGUUUGAGAAAAAUACAGCCGUUCCUUGGCGUUGGCUGAGUUCCCCUUCACGUGGUGGUUUGGCGUGAAGUGAACCCUAAGCUUUACCCCAGGAGAUACCCUACGCGCCUCUCCGUUCGAGGUAAUAAUAUAAUGGAGUUUACCGUGCCCCUCUAAUAGGCUGGUCCACGGAACCCCCUCUGCAGUAAAUAAUUAAUAUAUAAUCCACCAAUCAAUAAAAUUCAUUCUAGCAUGACAUGGCAAUUUAUCGCAACCUAGCCUCUCAAGGCUGAAUACACAGUAUAAAUAAUUAUAACACCAAAAUCAGUUUAGCCAUUCAUGCUCAUUUAUUGUCAUAAGCCAUUCAAUUCAAAACCAUAAAUUUGCAACACAAACUAGCAGUCUCCAAUUACUCUAUUUUCAAAACCAAUAUUCGAUUUUCCAGAAAAUUUAUAAAAUCAUUUUAUAAAAUCACAAUUUCUCUUAAAACAUAGCAAUUUACCAUUUAAACCCAUUUUUCAUAAAAUCACACAGUUGUAUAAAACUACUCUAGAUAAUUAAGACGAUAAUAAGUUUACUCACAGUUUUAGGAGUAGAAAUACUCCUAUCUUCCGCCCUCGGGUGCAGUCUCUUACCCGAAACAAUUGACUCACCACCUAUCCAUAAUCCAUGACACAAAAUUCAAUAAAUUGUGUCAAUUUAUCAUAAAUUAUUUCAGGCUCUUAUCCAUGCGUAUGCACUAGAUAGGAUUUGAAAUGUCUAGACAAUCGCUUAAUUGCGGUGUCCGACCUAACUCGCCUAUACACGGUGUAAAUUCCUAAAAUCCCCAAUUCGACUCCAAUUCCAUCCAUUUCAAUUUCAAUUAUCCAAUUAUAUCCACAAUACCUCAAUGACUGUGAAUUUGGUCCAAUUUAUCAGUCCGGACUAUAAAUUACGCUUUUACCCCUAGUGGGUAAAAAUUUCAAUUUAUUGCACCGAAAAUUCCCAUUUAAUUUCCAACCUCAUAAUUCAUCAUUUUUCCACCCAAUUCUCUUAAAAUAAAGUCAACCUCAUCCUCACAUACCAUUGGCUAGAUUCGGCCUAGGGAAAUUCAUGGAGAAGAUAAAUAUUUUUCUUGUUGUUUUACUCAUAAACAUGCUAAACUAACACUAAACACUAACAUAGCUCAAAAUCAAAUUUAUCUAACAACUUUCUCUCUCUAAACCCAUAUGACCAGAAUUCAAAUCAUCCUCAAAUCACAUGAUUCAACCAUGAAAAAUGAUGGAAAAUGCAUGGGAAAGGUAAAGCACAAGACAAAUUUAAGAAAUGUUACCUUUUUUCACUUGAUUUUUGAAUUUCCACCUAUUUUCCCUUUAAAUUUCUUAGCUAGGGUUUUAU